CCCCAUAUAGUUUCAGUUAUAAUAAAAAUAGAGAUCUUAACAUCAGAAUUCUGCUGUUAACUCUUCAAGGUUUCUCUGUGCCAUCCAAGCCACACAUAGGGUUUGAAGCACCAAAUCCACAAGUUUCUACAACCAGGUUUAAAUAAACAAAAACUGAAGACUGAAGGAUGCCAAAGUAACUGUUCUUAAAUGAAGCUGUAACACAAAGUUCUCCCCAAAACUCAGGGUAUUAAGCGUCUAGUUCAAGCACUGCCAGGCUGUAUGUAGAUCUGUCUCAGAAAGGCUUCAGACAACGACUACAAGUACCACUGGUUCUAGAGGGCAUCAUCCAGGAUACCAAGGCCGAGCAGGGAUCCCUUUGCCAUCAUGACUUUUAAAAAGUUGCAGCCCCCCUUGUGAUUGGUCGAGGCAGGGUCAGUGCCGAACCUGGGGUUUGAGCGGAGGAAGGGAGCCUCCUCCUGGGCAAGGAGGCUCUAUCUUCAGUGUGAACAGUUCUCCUUUCAGAGCACUCUCUCAGGGCCGACCUGGUUUCUCAGGAUCCAUUCCCUUGCCCAGAAGAGAGAGCCUCACUCCGACCCAGUAACAGUGAAAGAAGAGUCGACCUACCUGUGGAACCAGACACAACAUGGUCCCCAAAGGCCGCUUAAGCGACCCCACUGCAACUGACAAGUCAACUUGCGCACUUAAAGCGUAUCAGUUUAUGGAACGCUUGUUUGAAGUCCUCAUUGGACAUGGUAUAGAUGAUGGGGUUGAUGAGGGAGUUCAGAUAGCCCAGCCACGUGAAAAAGUCAAAGAUGGCCAAGUGGAACCAACAGGCAUCCUUGCAAAUCGGCAUCACCAAGGAGAUGAUGAAGAAGGGCAGCCAACACACAAUAAACGCUCCCAGAAUGAUCCCCAGGGUUUUGGUGGCUUUGCGCUCCCUAGCGGCCAUGAGUUUCUUCUUCUCCACUAGAGCGUCGGAGACUCGCACUUUGACUUGGUUCACGUACACAGGAGACCCCGACUCGCUGGGCACGUCGGGAGCCCGCGAGUUAAUGGAGGUGACCGAGGACGUGGACCCGGGGGAGUCGGUCAUCAGCUGGGCUCGGGUCAGACGCUUGCCGGUCCUAUUGGGCGUCUGUUUCAAAAUCCGGGAGCGGGCUUCCACAUAGAUGCGGCUGUAGAGGGCGAUGAGGAGCAAGGUGGGGAAGUAGAAAGCGCCCACCGUGGAGUAGACCGUGUAGAGGAUGUGGUCGGUGUUCACCAAACAGUCCAACACUUCUUCCUCGGCUUUGGCCUGGCGCCAAAAGAAGGGCGGCAGCGAGAUGGAGAUGGAGAAGACCCACACCAGCGCGAUCAUGACUGCCGCCCUCUUGGGAGUCCUUUUAGCUGAGUACUCCACGGCGUCCGUGAUGGCCCAGUAGCGGUCCAGGGCGAUGACACAGAGGUGCAGGAUGGAAGCAGUGCAACAGGUGAUAUCAGACGACAGCCAGAAGUCGCAGACCACCUGGCCCAGCGUCCAGCGGCCGGUGACCACAUACAUGGUGCUGAUGGGCAUCACCAGGAUGGAUACGAGCAGGUGUUUGCACAUGGGCGCACGUGUGUGAAACACGCAAGACAGCCGGGAACCUUCACAGCCGCCUCCGCCGCGGCGCCCUGCGGUCCGCGCGCCCGCUCCGCAGUCCUCGGCAGCGCCGGGAGGAACUCCCCUUGAAGAUUUCGGGAAAGUCAGCCCGCACAGACUCAGCAUGAAGCGCAAGAAGAAAACAGGGAUCGAGAUGAGCUCCACGCCGGUGGACUUGCAGCAGGGGCUGAGGAGAUAGAGGAUGGCGCUGAAACCCCAGUGAAGCCUGUGAUGUACGCGAAGCCUGACACGGUGGUGAGCUGCCCAGGUACCAGAGAAGAAUCAC
This 1889-nucleotide long non-coding RNA is filed under the name Equus caballus (horse). Its description in RNAcentral is "5-hydroxytryptamine receptor 1B (ENSECAG00000000649.3)". Lineage: Eukaryota; Metazoa; Chordata; Mammalia; Perissodactyla; Equidae. The record is from RNAcentral.